ACUGCUCAGUAACACGUAGUCAACAUGCCCAGGGACGUGGAUAACCUCGGGAAACUGAGGAUAAACCGCGAUAGGUCAUCACUUCUGGAAUGGGUAAUGACUUAAAUCUAUAUGGCCCCUGGAUUGGACUGCGGCCGAUCAGGCUGUUGGUGAGGUAAUGGCCCACCAAACCUGUAACCGGUACGGGCUCUGAGAGGAGGAGCCCGGAGAUGGGCACUGAGACAAGGGCCCAGGCCCUAUGGGGCGCAGCAGGCGCGAAACCUCUGCAAUAGGCGAAAGCUUGACAGGGUUACUCUGAGUGAUUUCCGUUAAGGAGAUCUUUUGGCACCUCUAAAAAUGGUGCAGAAUAAGGGGUGGGCAAGUCUGGUGUCAGCCGCCGCGGUAAUACCAGCACCCCGAGUGGUCGGGACGUUUAUUGGGCCUAAAGCAUCCGUAGCCGGUUCUACAAGUCUUCCGUUAAAUCCACCUGCUUAACAGAUGGGCUGCGGAAGAUACUAUAGAGCUAGGAGGCGGGAGAGGCAAGCGGUACUCGAUGGGUAGGGGUAAAAUCCGUUGAUCCAUUGAAGACCACCAGUGGCGAAGGCGGCUUGCCAGAACGCGCUCGACGGUGAGGGAUGAAAGCUGGGGGAGCAAACCGGAUUAGAUACCCGGGUAGUCCCAGCUGUAAACGAUGCAGACUCGGUGAUGAGUUGGCUUAUUGCUAACUCAGUGCCGCAGGGAAGCCGUUAAGUUUGCCGCCUGGGGAGUACGGUCGCAAGACUGAAACUUAAAGGAAUUGGCGGGGGAGCA
Molecule: ribosomal RNA, 789 nt
Filed under: uncultured archaeon
Lineage: Archaea
Description: bacterial SSU rRNA
Rfam family: Archaeal small subunit ribosomal RNA
Source: RNAcentral